UGUGCCGGAAGACUGAUUCAGCCAACUUAGUACAGCCACCUUUAAUGAGAAACUCUGCUCUUUUCAGUGUCCUGCUGGUGCAUUCCCACGUGAAACCUAGCACAUGGCCAGUCUCCCCCCUCACUGGUUGGUCUUCAGGCCUUUCCAUUUCAGUAGAUCUCCCUCAGCGUUCUCCAAAAUGAGCUCUUUGCCACAUCUACAGUAGCUGUGGAGACAACCUUUCUCAGAAAGCAGUGCAGGGCUAAGGAAUGUUGAGCAGUUGGACUGCAAACACAAAUGGUGUCUUUUUCUUCCUUGUGGGUAUGUUAAUCCAAACAGCCUAUUAAAGAGCUGAGCCAGUUCUCACAUA
Long non-coding RNA from Columba livia (rock pigeon), 349 nucleotides. RefSeq lists it as uncharacterized. Lineage: Eukaryota; Metazoa; Chordata; Aves; Columbiformes; Columbidae. The transcript has 2 exons. The record is from RefSeq and is a predicted model, not a curated record.